RNAcentral lists this ribosomal RNA (425 nucleotides) under uncultured bacterium. RNAcentral describes it as "bacterial SSU rRNA". It matches the Rfam family "Bacterial small subunit ribosomal RNA", at positions 356 to 773 of the family's 1533-position model. The record is from RNAcentral.
GGGGAAUAUUGCGCAAUGGGCGAAAGCCUGACGCAGCCAUGCCGCGUGUGUGAAGAAGGCCUUCGGGUUGUAAAGCACUUUCAAUUGGGAAGAAAGGUUGCGUGUUAAUAGCACGUAGCUGUGACGUUACCUUUAGAAGAAGCACCGGCUAACUCCGUGCCAGCAGCCGCGGUAAUACGGAGGGUGCGAGCGUUAAUCGGAAUUACUGGGCGUAAAGCGCGCGUAGGCGGUUUGUUAAGUCGGAUGUGAAAUCCCCGGGCUCAACCUGGGAAUGGCAUUCGAUACUGGCCGACUAGAGUACGAGAGAGGGAGGUAGAAUUCCACGUGUAGCGGUGAAAUGCGUAGAUAUGUGGAGGAAUACCGGUGGCGAAGGCGGCCUCCUGGCUCGAUACUGACGCUGAGGUGCGAAAGCGUGGGUAGCAAAC